Molecule: long non-coding RNA, 876 nt
Organism: Neoarius graeffei (lesser salmon catfish)
Lineage: Eukaryota; Metazoa; Chordata; Actinopteri; Siluriformes; Ariidae
Exons: 2
Source: RefSeq, a predicted model, not a curated record
UUUCAGAAAUAAGUGCCCUUGCGCACUGCGCAAUCAUUGCGCAGUGCGCAAGGGCACUUAUUUAAUUCAUUGCGCCGCAGUGAAUGUGUGCGCGGGCGUGUGUGUGUUCUUGAAUUCACCUGUUAUGUGAUAGUUCUAUGACCAGUAAAAUACCUCUCCUCCUUGCGUCCCCUCUGAUUGGGUUGCCUGUCCGCACGAGUGCUUGCUACGACAUGGUGUUUUUUUUUUUUUUACUGGAUUCCACGCCGAUGAGGAACUCGAAGUAGCACCUGAGUAUUACUGGCAUAGCGAGAUGUGAAGGAGAUGGACGCUGUGAAAACAAGAUUGAGACGAGUUUUGCUGGUGGAUGGACCCUGCUGUUUUUUCUUUCCCGGACUUCGUUGCUGCAUGCGGACUGCAUUGUGGACUGUGACUGCCCUCGGCCUCUGUGGUCGCCAUUAACUAUCCUCUGCUAUCCCUUUUUGUCCCUCAUUUGGAUUUGUGAGUACAUUACUGACUUUGCACGUGCUUCUUAGUUUAUGCUCUUGAGUGAAGUGACCAAAAAGUUUUAGGUCUCACCGCACCCGAGCUUCGGCACAGGCCUGCAACCUGAGUUUGGGGUUAUUUGGAGUGUGUGUGUGUGUGUGUGGGCCCACAGGUGAAUUUUGAGUUUAUUGAAGUUAAAGGAAAUUGAGACCAGGGACAUCUUAUUUUAGUUUUGGUUUGUAGGGUAUAAAACCAGAGUUCCUAGAACCUGACGUACGGAACACCAUUUAAAGAGACCCUGUACUUUAUUUUAUUUUUGUGUUUGAAAAAAUUCUUAUUUACUUUUUUAUAACAGCUUUCAUUUUGUCUUUUUGUAAAUAAAUACCUGUAAAGGUUUUGGUUUUUCUAAAA